RNAcentral lists this long non-coding RNA (382 nucleotides) under Gossypium barbadense (sea-island cotton). RNAcentral describes it as "long non-coding RNA (GBAR_LNC019529)". Lineage: Eukaryota; Viridiplantae; Streptophyta; Magnoliopsida; Malvales; Malvaceae. The record is from RNAcentral.
AAAUUGUUAGAAAUCAAACCCACUCCAAGCAUAAUCUAGAAGCAUGAGACGUGGAGCAAUUUUGUGCCAUGCAAAGUGCUGAAAUUUUAGCCAUACAAAGUGCUCCAUUAUUGAGAUGUUUUGUGGCUGGAAAUUAAGUGGAUUAAUAGCCACAUUUGUUGUCACUUUAUCAGCCUAUAAAUAGAGGCUUGAACUUGUGUUGUAAAGGAAGAAAAAUGAGAAGAAAAAAGAAAUAAGAGAAGCAACGUGAGUGAGAGUGAGAAGGUUAGCAAACCUUGAGUGAGUUAAAAUCUAGCAGCAGCUAGACUAUCUAGUCAUUGAGAAAAUAUUUGUAAUCUUCGUAUUGUAAUAUAUUGAGUGUGUAAUAAAAAGUAAAUUUUCG